Molecule: ribosomal RNA, 236 nt
Filed under: uncultured bacterium
Lineage: Bacteria
Description: partial 16S ribosomal RNA
Rfam family: Bacterial small subunit ribosomal RNA
Source: RNAcentral
UACAGAGGGUGCGAGCGUUAAUCGGAAUUACUGGGCGUAAAGCGUGCGCAGACGGUCACGUAAGUCGGGUGUGAAAGCCCCGGGCUCCACCUGGGAAUUGCAUUCGAGACUGCGUGGCUAGGGUGCGGAAGAGGGAAGCGGAAUUUCUGGUGUAGCGGUGAAAUGCGUAGAUAUCGGAAGGAACACCAGUGGCGAAAGCGGCUCCUGGUCCAGCACCGACGUCAGGCACGAAAGCG